AAUGUAGUGCCUGAAAAAGGUCUAUUUUGAUAGGAUAGCUCAUGUGUGCCCCCCCCACCUACAUUA
RNAcentral lists this transfer RNA (66 nucleotides) under Lepidapion squamigerum. Its description in RNAcentral is "tRNA-Ile". Lineage: Eukaryota; Metazoa; Arthropoda; Insecta; Coleoptera; Brentidae. The record is from RNAcentral.